GAGACAGAGAAAUGUGAGAGACUGAAUGAGAAGUAAAUCAAAUAAAAUACCUGACUUUUUCACCCAGACCAGAAUAACACAAUUGGCAACAGACUGCAUGCGCUAGGCCACCGCCACCUCUUACAUUAUCGGCAAUAUCGGUAACAAUAGUGUCCAAUACCCAUAUUUGUCAAAAUCAGGAAUAUAGGCCGAUAAUAUCGGCAAAAACGACAAUCGUCGAUCCCUACUUCUUAAAGUCCAACGUAUG
This is a non-coding RNA of Pelobates cultripes (western spadefoot toad), 247 nucleotides long. Lineage: Eukaryota; Metazoa; Chordata; Amphibia; Anura; Pelobatidae. The record is from the annotation of a GenBank genome assembly.